UGAGUGCUUUGGGGUGGGGUGACUGCGUACCUUUUGUAUAAUGGGUCAGCGACUUAUAUUCUGUAGCAAGGUUAACCGUAUAGGGGAGCCGAAGGGAAACCGAGUCUUAACUGGGCGUUAAGUUGCAGGGUAUAGACCCGAAACCCGGUGAUCUAGCCAUGGGCAGGUUGAAGGUUGGGUAACACUAACUGGAGGACCGAACCGACUAAUGUUGAAAAAUUAGCGGAUGACUUGUGGCUGGGGGUGAAAGGCCAAUCAAACCGGGAGAUAGCUGGUUCUCCCCGAAAGCUAUUUAGGUAGCGCCUCGUGAACUCAUCUUCGGGGGUAGAGCACUGUUUCGGCUAGGGGGUCAUCCCGACUUACCAACCCGAUGCAAACUGCGAAUACCGAAGAAUGUUAUCACGGGAGACACACGGCGGGUGCUAACGUCCGUCGUGAAGAGGGAAACAACCCAGACCGCCAGCUAAGGUCCCAAAGUCACAGUUAAGUGGGAAACGAUGUGGGAAGGCUCAGACAGCCAGGAUGUUGGCUUAGAAGCAGCCAUCAUUUAAAGAAAGCGUAAUAGCUCACUGGUCGAGUCGGCCUGCGCGGAAGAUGUAACGGGGCUAAACUGUGCACCGAAGCUGCGGCAGCGACGCUUAUGCGUUGUUGGGUAGGGGAGCGUUCUGUAAGCCUGCGAAGGUGUCCUGUGAGGGAUGCUGGAGGUAUCAGAAGUGCGAAUGCUGACAUAAGUAACGAUAAUGCGGGUGAAAAGCCCGCUCGCCGGAAGACCAAGGGUUCCUGUCCAACGUUAAUCGGGGCAGGGUGAGUCGACCCCUAAGGCGAGGCCGAAAGGCGUAGUCGAUGGGAAACGGGUUAAUAUUCCCGUACUUGGUGUUACUGCGAAGGGGGGACGGAGAAGGCUAUGUUGGCCGGGCGACGGUUGUCCCGGUUUAAGCGUGUAGGCUGGUUUUCCAGGCAAAUCCGGAAAAUCAAG
Molecule: ribosomal RNA, 976 nt
Filed under: Salmonella enterica subsp. enterica serovar Kentucky
Lineage: Bacteria; Pseudomonadati; Pseudomonadota; Gammaproteobacteria; Enterobacterales; Enterobacteriaceae
Description: partial 23S ribosomal RNA
Rfam family: Bacterial large subunit ribosomal RNA
Source: RNAcentral